UAGAUGAGUAUCUGCGAGAUUGUGGUAGUUGGUUAUGAACACAACUCUAUCAUAUAAGAUAUUUGAGUAUUUGUGAGAUUGUGGCAGUUGGUUAUGAACACAACUCUAUCAUAUAAGAUAUUUGAGUAUCUGUGAGAUCGUGAUAGUGGGUUCUGAACACAACUCUUUUACGAAAAGAGUUGUAGAAAAACAAAAAGACUGAAACAUAUAAAAACUCAUUCUACGAAUU
Molecule: long non-coding RNA, 229 nt
Filed under: Manihot esculenta (cassava)
Lineage: Eukaryota; Viridiplantae; Streptophyta; Magnoliopsida; Malpighiales; Euphorbiaceae
Description: long non-coding RNA (MESC_LNC008806)
Source: RNAcentral